GUGCCAGCCGCCGCGGUAAUACGGAGGGUGCAAGCGUUGUUCGGAAUCAUUGGGCGUAAAGCGCGUGUAGGCGGUUGCCUAAGUCUGGUGUGAAAUCCCGGGGCUUAACUCCGGAAGUGCACUGGAUACUGGGUGACUAGAGGGCGAGAGAGGAUAGUGGAAUUCCUGGUGUAGGGGUGAAAUCCGUAGAUAUCAGGAGGAACAUCGGUGGCGAAGGCGGCUAUCUGGCUCGUUUCUGACGCUGAGACGCGAAAGCGUGGGGAGCAAACAGGAUUAGAAACCCUGGUAGUCC
RNAcentral lists this ribosomal RNA (292 nucleotides) under uncultured bacterium. Its description in RNAcentral is "partial 16S ribosomal RNA". It matches the Rfam family "Bacterial small subunit ribosomal RNA", at positions 505 to 796 of the family's 1533-position model. The record is from RNAcentral.